AUUGAGCUACGGCCACCAGGCGACGACGGGUAGCUGGUCUGAGAGGACUGUCAGCCACACUGGGACUGAGACACGGCCCAGACUCCUGCGGGAGGCAGCAGCAGGGAAUUUUGCACAAUGGACGAAAGUCUGAUGCAGCGACGCCGCGUGGGGGAUGAAGGCCUUCGGGUUGUAAACCCCUUUCAGGAGGGACGAAGCGAAAGUGACGGUACCUCCAGAAGAAGCCCCGGCCAACUACGUGCCAGAGCCCGCGGCCGA
Molecule: ribosomal RNA, 258 nt
Filed under: uncultured Actinomycetes bacterium
Lineage: Bacteria; Bacillati; Actinomycetota; Actinomycetes
Description: uncultured actinobacterium partial 16S ribosomal RNA
Rfam family: Bacterial small subunit ribosomal RNA
Source: RNAcentral